AGUGGGGAAUUUUGGACAAUGGGCGCAAGCCUGAUCCAGCAAUGCCGCGUGCAGGAUGAAGGCCUUCGGGUUGUAAACUGCUUUUGUACGGAGCGAAAAGGCUCCCUCUAAUACAGGGGGCUCAUGACGGUACCGUAAGAAUAAGCACCGGCUAACUACGUGCCAGCAGCCGCGGUAAUACGUAGGGUGCAAGCGUUAAUCGGAAUUACUGGGCGUAAAGCGUGCGCAGGCGGUUAUGUAAGACAGAUGUGAAAUCCCCGGGCUCAACCUGGGAACUGCAUUUGUGACUGCAUAGCUAGAGUACGGCAGAGGGGGAUGGAAUUCCGCGUGUAGCAGUGAAAUGCGUAGAUAUGCGGAGGAACACCGAUGGCGAAGGCAAUCCCCUGGGCCUGUACUGACGCUCAUGCACGAAAGCGUGGGGAGCAAACAGGAUUAGAUACCCUGGUAGUCCACGCCCUAAACGAUGUCAACUAGGUGUUGGAAGGGUUAAACCUUUUAGUACCGCAGCUAACGCGUGAAGUUGACCGCCUGGGGAGUACGGCCGCAAGGUUA
RNAcentral lists this ribosomal RNA (552 nucleotides) under uncultured bacterium. RNAcentral's name for it is "bacterial SSU rRNA". It matches the Rfam family "Bacterial small subunit ribosomal RNA", at positions 353 to 896 of the family's 1533-position model. The record is from RNAcentral.